This 325-nucleotide ribosomal RNA is filed under the name uncultured eukaryote. Its description in RNAcentral is "partial 18S ribosomal RNA". It matches the Rfam family "Eukaryotic small subunit ribosomal RNA", at positions 1470 to 1796 of the family's 1831-position model. The record is from RNAcentral.
CCCUUAGAUGUCCUGGGCCGCACGCGCGCUACACUGAUGCAUUCAACGAGUAUUUCCUUGGCCGAGAGGCCUGGGCAAUCUUUUAUACCUGCAUCGUGAUAGGGAUAGAUUAUUGCAAUUAUUAAUCUUGAACGAGGAAUUCCUAGUAAACGCAAAUCAUCAAUUUGCAUUGAUUACGUCCCUGCCCUUUGUACACACCGCCCGUCGCACCUACCGAUUGAAUGGUCCGGUGAAAUCUCGGGAUUGUGGCCAGUUCACUUUAUUGGGAGUUGGCUGCGAGAACUUGCUUAAACCUUAUCAUUUAGAGGAAGGUGAAGUCGUAACA